Non-coding RNA from Acanthosepion pharaonis, 110 nucleotides. Lineage: Eukaryota; Metazoa; Mollusca; Cephalopoda; Sepiida; Sepiidae. The record is from the annotation of a GenBank genome assembly.
AUGGCUAUAUCACAUUGAAACGCUGGUUCUUGUAUGAUCACCAAAGUUAAGCAAUGUCAAGCCUGGUCAGUACCUAGAUGGGUGACUUCUUGGGAAUAACAAAUGCUGUA